CAGUCGCCGCGGGAAUACAGAGGGUGCGAGCGUUAAUCGGAUUUACUGGGCGUAAAGCGUGCGUAGGCGGCUUCUUAAGUCGGAUGUGAAAUCCCUGAGCUUAACUUAGGAAUUGCAUUCGAUACUGGGAAGCUAGAGUAUGGGAGAGGAUGGUAGAAUUCCAGGUGUAGCGGUGAAAUGCGUAGAGAUCUGGAGGAAUACCGAUGGCGAAGGCAGCCAUCUGGCCUAAUACUGACGCUGAGGUACGAAAGCAUGGGGAGCAAACAGGAUUAGAUACCCCAGUAGCCCUGUCUCUUAUACA
RNAcentral lists this ribosomal RNA (301 nucleotides) under uncultured bacterium. RNAcentral describes it as "partial 16S ribosomal RNA". It matches the Rfam family "Bacterial small subunit ribosomal RNA", at positions 509 to 809 of the family's 1533-position model. The record is from RNAcentral.